This 1269-nucleotide long non-coding RNA is filed under the name Sus scrofa (pig). RNAcentral describes it as "lncRNA (ENSSSCG00055028504.1)". The record is from RNAcentral. Lineage: Eukaryota; Metazoa; Chordata; Mammalia; Artiodactyla; Suidae.
GGGAUGUGGUGAGGGCGCAGACGCAUCUUCCAGAGCCGACCUUCCCCCGCGCCCUCCCAAGCUAGGGGUCACGCUGUGUCCCCAGUCCCUUCUGCGUUUAUCCCGUUGGUGGUGUAGGGCAGGGAUCCUGCACCUUUCGAGGUCACUUGGCUUCGGUGAGAAGCUGAUGACGGCUCGGCCCCUCCCAGAGAACUGCUCAUGCUCGCCGCUUUGCCACAUUUUCAAGGCUGCUCUGGUGAGAACCCCUCGGUGACCUCAGGCUUACCUUGAACGGCUUCCGGAAGCUUUAACACCUGAUUAUUAAAGUCGAAGUGGCAAGGAACUCAUCUGUCAGUUUUCCCUCAUGGAAGUGUCUUACGAAACCAUUUUAUAAACCAUAUGCUUGAAAAAGGUCAGAAAACGCAGGUCCCCAAAUGCAGUGCGUGUUCGGUUGUUCAGCAUGUUGCCCUCGGGUUAUUUCACCCCAAGCCCAUCUCUGCAAACUGACCUCCAAGGGCCGGACAGACCCGGACACCCUCCAGCCUUGAGGCAGUCCGCCUGGGAAAUUUCUGAGAAGGGCUCCUUCCAUCCAAACCGUGAAAAUGUGGCGUCUUGGCUUUACGCUUCCACUUGUACCCACCUACAUACGUUUCCUCCUGCUUCAAACUCUGGCCCAGGAUAAUGGAUUACAUGAGGCACCUGUUUUGAGAUGUUCCCGUCAUUCCGUCAACUCCCGUGAUGGAGGCAUAUGGGGAAUAGGCGUGCUGCUGGGGGUAACACGUGCGGAGGCCUGGAUCCGAGAGUCAGUUCAAAAGGACUCCCCCCGUGGUGGACACUCUGUGGGUCUGGAAAAAUAUCCCAGUUGAGAGAAGCCUCCCUCUCUUCUUACUUUGCCGAGAGUUUUCUUUUUUAAUUGAAGUACAGUUGAUGCACAAUAUUAUAUAAGUUAUAGGUGUAAAAUACGGUGAUUCAUGACUUUAAAGGUUGUGGUCUGUAUUCCAACUAUUGUAAUUAUAAAAUUUUGGAGUUGCCAUUGUGGCGCAGUGGAAAUGAAUCAGACUAGGAUCCAUGGGGUUGGCGGCUCCAUCCCUGGCCUCAGUGGGUUAAGCAUCUGGCGUUGCCGUGAGCUGUGGUGCAGGUCACAGAUGCGGCUCAGAUCUGACGUUGUUGUGGCUGUGGUCUAGGCUGGCAGCUGUAGCUCCGAUUAGAUCCCUAGCCUGGGAACCUGCAUAUGCCGCGGGUGUGGCCCUAAAAAAACCAAAUAUAUAUAUUUAUAUAUAUAUAUAAACA